ACAUGCAAGCCGAGCGGUAGAGUCUCUUCGGAGACUUGAGAGCGGCGUACGGGUGCGGAACACGUGUGCAACCUGCCUUUAUCAGGGGGAUAGCCUUUCGAAAGGAAGAUUAAUACCCCAUAAUAUAUUGAGUGGCAUCACUUAAUAUUGAAAACUCCGGUGGAUAGAGAUGGGCACGCGCAAGAUUAGAUAGUUGGUGAGGUAACGGCUCACCAAGUCAACGAUCUUUAGGGGGCCUGAGAGGGUGAUCCCCCACACUGGUACUGAGACACGGACCAGACUCCUACGGGAGGCAGCAGUGAGGAAUAUUGGACAAUGGGUGCGAGCCUGAUCCAGCCAUCCCGCGUGAAGGACGACGGCCCUAUGGGUUGUAAACUUCUUUUGUAUAGGGAUAAACCCAGAUACGUGUAUCUGGCUGAAGGUACUAUACGAAUAAGCACCGGCUAACUCCGUGCCAGCAGCCGCGGUAAUACGGAGGGUGCAAGCGUUAUCCGGAUUUAUUGGGUUUAAAGGGUCCGUAGGCUGAUUUGUAAGUCAGUGGUGAAAUCUCACAGCUUAACUGUGAAACUGCCAUUGAUACUGCAAGUCUUGAGUGUUGUUGAAGUAGCUGGAAUAAGUAGUGUAGCGGUGAAAUGCAUAGAUAUUACUUAGAACACCAAUUGCGAAGGCAGGUUACUAAGCAACAACUGACGCUGAUGGACGAAAGCGUGGGGAGCGAACAGGAUUAGAUACCCUGGUAGUCCACGCCGUAAACGAUGCUAACUCGUUUUUGGGGCGCAAGCUUCAGAGACUAAGCGAAAGUGAUAAGUUAGCCACCUGGGGAGUACGAACGCAAGUUUGAAACUCAAAGGAAUUGACGGGGGCCCGCACAAGCGGUGGAUUAUGUGGUUUAAUUCGAUGAUACGCGAGGAACCUUACCAAGGCUUAAAUGGGAAAUGACAGGUUUAGAAAUAGACUAUUCUUCGGACAUUUUUCAAGGUGCUGCAUGGUUGUCGUCAGCUCGUGCCGUGAGGUGUUAGGUUAAGUCCUGCAACGAGCGCAACCCCUGUCACUAGUUGCCAUCAUUAAGUUGGGGACUCUAGUGAGACUGCCUACGCAAGUAGAGAGGAAGGUGGGGAUGACGUCAAAUCAUCACGGCCCUUACGCCUUGGGCCACACACGUAAUACAAUGGCCAGUACAGAGGGCAGCUACACGGUGACGUGAUGCAAAUCUCGAAAGCUGGUCUCAGUUCGGAUUGGAGUCUGCAACUCGACUCUAUGAAGCUGGAAUCGCUAGUAAUCGCGCAUCAGCCAUGGCGCGGUGAAUACGUUCCCGGGCCUUGUACACACCGCCCGUCAAGCCAUGGAAGUCUGGGGUACCUGAAGUCGGUGACCGUAACAGGAGCUGCCUAGGGUUAGGCCU
This 1402-nucleotide ribosomal RNA is filed under the name Chryseobacterium sp. HT1. RNAcentral describes it as "bacterial SSU rRNA". It matches the Rfam family "Bacterial small subunit ribosomal RNA". Lineage: Bacteria; Pseudomonadati; Bacteroidota; Flavobacteriia; Flavobacteriales; Weeksellaceae. The record is from RNAcentral.